GAUGAAGAACGUAGCAAAAUGCGAUACUUGGUGUGAAUUGCAGAAUCCCGUGAACCAUCGAGUUUUUGAACGCAAGUUGCGCCCGAAGCCUUUUGGCCGAGGGCACGUCUGCCUGGGCGUCACGCAUCGCGUCGCCCCCCACAAUUCUCCGCAAAGGGAACAUGUGUUUUGGGGGCGGAUAUUGGUCUCCCGUGCUCAUGGCGUGGUUGGCCGAAAUAGGAGUCCUUUCGAUGGACGCACGAACUAGUGGUGGUCGUAAAAACCCUCGUCUUUUGUUUCGUGCUGUUGGUCGCAAGGUAAACUCUUUAAAAACCCCAAUGUGUCGUCUCUUGACGACGCUUCGAUCGCGACCCCAGGUCAGGCGGGACUACCCGCUGAGUUUAAGCAUAUCAAUAAGCGGAGGA
Molecule: unclassified non-coding RNA, 404 nt
Filed under: soil metagenome
Description: partial contains 5.8S ribosomal RNA, internal transcribed spacer 2, and large subunit ribosomal RNA
Rfam family: 5.8S ribosomal RNA (bases 1-122)
Source: RNAcentral